Molecule: ribosomal RNA, 506 nt
Filed under: uncultured bacterium
Lineage: Bacteria
Description: partial 16S ribosomal RNA
Rfam family: Bacterial small subunit ribosomal RNA
Source: RNAcentral
AUUGAACGUUGGCGGCAGGCUUAACACAUGCAAGUCGAGCGGUAACAGAGAGAAGCUUGCUUCUCUGCUGACGAGCGGCGGACGGGUGAGUAAUGCCUAGGAAUCUGCCUAGUAGUGGGGGAUAACUUGCCGAAAGGUAAGCUAAUACCGCAUACGUCCUACGGGAGAAAGGAGGGGACCUUCGGGCCUUUCGCUAUUAGAUGAGCCUAGGUCGGAUUAGUUAGUUGGUGAGGUAAUGGCUCACCAAGACCGCGAUCCGUAACUGGUCUGAGAGGAUGAUCAGUCACACUGGAACUGAGACACGGUCCAGACUCCUACGGGAGGCAGCAGUGGGGAGUAUUGGACAAUGGGGGGAACCCUGAUCCAGCCAUGCCGCGUGUGUGAAGAAGGUCUUAGGAUUGUAAAGCACUUUAAGUUGGGAGGAAGAGCAGUUAACUAAUAUUUGACUGUUUUGACGUUACCGACAGAAUAAGCACCGGCUAACUUCGUGCCAGCCGCCGCAGUAA